GUAGGGAAUAUUGGGCAAUGGUCGGAAGACUGACCCAGCCAUGCCGCGUGCAGGAAGACGGCCCUCUGGGUUGUAAACUGCUUUUAUCUGGGAAGAAAAAGGCCAUGCGUGGCAAAUUGCCGGUACCAGAUGAAUAAGCACCGGCUAACUCCGUGCCAGCAGCCGCGGUAAUACGGAGGGUGCGAGCGUUGUCCGGAUUUAUUGGGUUUAAAGGGUGCGUAGGCGGCUGAUUAAGUCAGCGGUGAAAGGCUUCGGCUUAACCGGAGCAGUGCCGUUGAUACUGGUUGGCUUGAGUGUCGGAGGGGUACAUGGAAUUGAUGGUGUAGCGGUGAAAUGCAUAGAUACCAUCAGGAACACCGAUAGCGAAGGCAUUGUACUGGCCGACAACUGACGCUGAUGCACGAAAGUGUGGGGAUCGAACAGGAUUAGAUACCCGGGUAGUCC
RNAcentral lists this ribosomal RNA (444 nucleotides) under uncultured bacterium. Its description in RNAcentral is "partial 16S ribosomal RNA". It matches the Rfam family "Bacterial small subunit ribosomal RNA", at positions 354 to 796 of the family's 1533-position model. The record is from RNAcentral.